RNAcentral lists this ribosomal RNA (406 nucleotides) under uncultured bacterium. RNAcentral's name for it is "partial 16S ribosomal RNA". It matches the Rfam family "Bacterial small subunit ribosomal RNA", at positions 30 to 526 of the family's 1533-position model. The record is from RNAcentral.
AUUGAACGCUGGCGGCAGGCCUAACACAUGCAAGUCGAACGAGUGGCGGACGGGUGAGUAAUGUCUGUGACACUGCCCGCUGGUGGGGGAUAACUACUGGAAACGGUAGCUAAUACCGCCUACCCUCGGAUGUGCCCAGAUGGGCUUCGCUAGUAGGUGGGGUAACGGCUCACCUAGGCGACGAUCCCUAGCUGGUCUGAGAGGAUGACCAGCCACACGGGAACUGAGACACGGUCCAGACUCCUACGGGAGGCAGCAGUGGGGAAUAUUGCACAAGGGGCGCAAGCCUGAGACAGCCAUGCCGCGUGUAUGAAGAAGGCCUUCGGGUUGUAAAGUACUUUCAGCGAGGAGGCGUUACUCGCAGAAGAAGCACCGGCUAACUCCGUGCCAGCAGCCGCGGUAAUUC